UGCAAGUGGACUCCUACCCCAGUGUGGAACGUGGGUAUCAGAGAAGGCCCCCUUCUGGUUUGAAGGACGCUGAUGGCUUUUGAGCAGACAGUCAAAAAGGAUUGGUAUAGCAUUCUAGGGGCAGACCCAUCUGCAGAUGUGUCAGACCUAAAACAAAAGUAUCAGAAACUCAUAUUACUGAAGAUGAGCUAAGAAAUGUGGGGCCAGUAGAUGCACAGGUACACCUUGAAGAGAUGUCCUGGAACAAAGAUGAGGAGUCUUUCUCUCUGAGCUGUCGAUGUGGUGGGAAGUACACUGUCUACAAAGAUGAAGCACAAGAAGCAAACCUUAUUUCCUGUGAUACGUGCUCACUGAUUGUGGAACUCCUUCAUCAGAGCUGAGCUGAGUGUUCAUCCCUGGGGUGCUUUAACUACAAGGAGAAGGAUGCUUUUUGUUAUUAGCUGUAUAAUUUGUGAAGAUGAUGAAAUCUUCAAGCAAAGACCACCAGAUUAACAAAUAAAUUCAGUUGUUUAUAUAUCUAAAAUGUAAAUUAUAGGAUAUUACAAAAAAGGACUUGAGUAAUAUUUUUGCAUUCUUAGCUAACAACUUUUGUUUUCUCUUUGGUACAAACCGAUUAUUUGCCUUUUGAAAUAUAAGUAUCUUUUUCAAAAAUCAGGAAGAGUAUUCUUUAUAGUUAUUAAGGGUUUUGCUUUUUGCUUUAAUCUUUCUGCAUGUACAUACGUUUACGUGUGUGUGUGUGUGUGUGUGUGUGUGUGUGUGUGUGUGUGUGUGUG
RNAcentral lists this long non-coding RNA (773 nucleotides) under Rattus norvegicus (Norway rat). Its description in RNAcentral is "long non-coding RNA NONRATT019548". The record is from RNAcentral. Lineage: Eukaryota; Metazoa; Chordata; Mammalia; Rodentia; Muridae.